This 72-nucleotide transfer RNA is filed under the name Camelus bactrianus (Bactrian camel). It matches the Rfam family "tRNA". Rfam says of the family: Transfer RNA (tRNA) molecules are approximately 80 nucleotides in length. Their secondary structure includes four short double-helical elements and three loops (D, anti-codon, and T loops). Further hydrogen bonds mediate the characteristic L-shaped molecular structure. tRNAs have two regions of fundamental functional importance: the anti-codon, which is responsible for specific mRNA codon recognition, and the 3' end, to which the tRNAs corresponding amino acid is attached (by aminoacyl-tRNA synthetases). tRNAs cope with the degeneracy of the genetic code in two manners: having more than one tRNA (with a specific anti-codon) for a particular amino acid; and 'wobble' base-pairing, i.e. permitting non-standard base-pairing at the 3rd anti-codon position. The record is from Rfam by way of RNAcentral. RNAcentral also lists the same sequence under 2 other names. Lineage: Eukaryota; Metazoa; Chordata; Mammalia; Artiodactyla; Camelidae.
GAGGGUAUAGCUCAGUGAUAGAGCACAUGCUUAGCAUGCAUGAGGUCCUAGGUUUAAUCCCCAGUACCUCCA